This 468-nucleotide ribosomal RNA is filed under the name uncultured bacterium. Its description in RNAcentral is "partial 16S ribosomal RNA". It matches the Rfam family "Bacterial small subunit ribosomal RNA", at positions 28 to 507 of the family's 1533-position model. The record is from RNAcentral.
GACGAACGCUGGCGGCGUGCUUAACACAUGCAAGUCGAACGGAAAGGCCCUGCUUUUGUGGGGUGCUCGAGUGGCGAACGGGCGAGUAACACGUGAGUAACCUGCCCUUGACUUUGGGAUAACUUCAGGAAACUGGGGCUAAUACCGGAUAGGAGCUCCUGCUGCAUGGUGGGGGUUGGAAAGUUUCGGCGGUUGGGGAUGGACUCGCGGCUUAUCAGCUUGUUGGUGGGGUAGUGGCUUACCAAGGCUUUGACGGGUAGCCGGCCUGAGAGGGUGACCGGCAACAUUGGGACUGAGAUACGGCCCAGACUCCUACGGGAGGCAGCAGUGGGGAAUAUUGCACAAUGGGCGGAAGCCUGAUGCAGCAACGCCGCGUGCGGGAUGACGGCCUUCGGGUUGUAAACCGCUUUCGCCUGUGACGAAGCGUGAGUGACGGUAAUGGGUAAAGAAGCACCGGCUAACUACGUG